UAGCAGCUUUAAAAGUACCUGGGUUGU
This 27-nucleotide non-coding RNA is filed under the name Mus musculus (house mouse). The record is from RNAcentral. Lineage: Eukaryota; Metazoa; Chordata; Mammalia; Rodentia; Muridae.